UUCGCUCCGUGCACCGAAUGUCUGGGGUGCCGCAGCCGAGCCCCCCGCGAUCAGAAAUCUUAUCCCCUAUCUGCGCCUUUUACACAGAACUUACGACCACAGAGGACAUGUAUUUUACCCUGUAGAGCAGCCAUUUCGGAGUCCCUCCUGCAGUAUAUCAGCAAGUGACUGCUUACCUUUCCUGAACCUGUGUGGCCAUGUCCAAUGCUGGCUCAACGGAGGGUGAAGGUUCCUCAGAGACAACUAUGUCGCAGGAUAGUAUUGCGCAGCCCCGGAUUUACAGAUCUAACUAGUUCAAUGCAAUGUUACAUACCAUGGACAAGUCUCUGCAUUGAUGCCAUAGGACACCUAUGAAACUUUAAGGCUACUUUCACACUGCCGUUAUGACAUCUGGGAAGAAUAGUGGGAGAAAAAUACUGCAAGCUCCUUCUUUUGUGUCCUGCUAAAUUAAUAUAUCUGUUCAGAUUUGCAGACCCAGCACGUCACUCUUAGCUGCAUUUGAUUGACAAGCUGUGGCCCCCUCUUUUGAUGGGCCCUCAGACACUCCGAAGCAUCUGUAUGGAUUCUCAUGUGCAGCCCCCAUUACCUUGUUGUAAUUUUUUCCCCUCCUGGACCUUAUUAGCACAGUCCACUACUUCAAAGCAACAAAAUCCAACAGCAGAGGCUACAGCUCUGGUCUGCCUUGAUCAUCAAUGUGCAGCACCACCAGGUGUUAAACAGAAAAACUGCAGGGAAUAGAUUUUGGAGAGGGGCGCUGCACACUACAUGGGGGCUGUGUUGAAACACCUUAGGCAGCGAAGGAGGAGGGGAUGGAGGGGGCUGAUAUCAAGAGAAAUACAAGGAGAGGAGGGGGUAAUAAGUUUGAUAUCAAGAGAAAUACAAGCAGAGGAGGGGGCAAUAAGUCUGAUAUCAAGAGAAAUACAAGGAGAGGAGGGGGUAAUACGUCUGAUAUCAAGAGUUAUCAAAAGUCAUCACAAUCGUGGGCUGCCACUCUAGAUCUAGGGCACUUGGGAGGCCUGAGUGGAAUCUGGAGGCCAUAAAUUCUUUUUUCAAGGAGUUCUUGUCUUCAUCAUUGAUAUAUCUAGUGUUUAAUGUUUAUCUUAUUGCUUGCAUUGUGAUGUUGCUGUUAAACGUUUUUGCUCCUGCACAUUUCUUUAAAGGGGUACU
This is a long non-coding RNA of Hyla sarda, 1167 nucleotides long. RefSeq lists it as uncharacterized. The record is from RefSeq and is a predicted model, not a curated record. The transcript is spliced from 3 exons. Lineage: Eukaryota; Metazoa; Chordata; Amphibia; Anura; Hylidae.